GACAGAAGCCGGGAUAGCUCA
RNAcentral lists this transfer RNA (21 nucleotides) under Sphagnum ehyalinum. Its description in RNAcentral is "partial tRNA-Phe". Lineage: Eukaryota; Viridiplantae; Streptophyta; Sphagnopsida; Sphagnales; Sphagnaceae. The record is from RNAcentral.